Molecule: ribosomal RNA, 500 nt
Filed under: uncultured bacterium
Lineage: Bacteria
Description: partial 16S ribosomal RNA
Rfam family: Bacterial small subunit ribosomal RNA
Source: RNAcentral
GACGAACGCUGGCGGCGUGCCUAAUACAUGCAAGUCGAGCGGACUGAUUAAGAGCUUGCUCUUAUGACGUUAGCGGCGGACGGGUGAGUAACACGUGGGCAACCUGCCCUGUAGAUCGGGAUAACACCGAGAAAUCGGUGCUAAUACCGGGUAAUAUCUGAGAUCACAUGAUCUUAGGUUAAAAGAUGGCUCCGGCUAUCACUACAGGAUGGGCCCGCGGCGCAUUAGCUAGUUGGUAAGGUAAUGGCUUACCAAGGCGACGAUGCGUAGCCGACCUGAGAGGGUGAUCGGCCACACAGGGACUGAGACACGGCCCAGACUCCUACGGGAGGCAGCAGUAGGGAAUCUUCCGCAAUGGACGAAAGUCUGACGGAGCAACGCCGCGUGAGUGAUGAAGGGUUUCGGCGCGUAAAGCGCUGUUGUUAGGGAAGAAACAGUACCGAACGAACUAGGUCGGUACCUUGACGGUACCUAAACAGAAAGCCACGGCUAACUACGUG